CAAUGACUGAGUUAUGGAAACUUCUCCUGUGUGGUAAAACUGGGGACUUUGUCUUCCAAUCAGACCCUGGCAAGCUGACAACAAGCCAAUGUUCUGCAUAUGGCUUAUUGCAAGUCACAGGCUUAAUGUUAUUUUCUGGGAAUUCUUAGCCUCUAUUUGGUGAGAAUUCCGGAACAUGUCAUUUUAUAAUUACAAUUUUUAUCAUUUGGUUCUGUACUUUAAGAAAUAUUCACAGGUCUCACGUAUUUCUUACAAUGUAAGUCUACAAUGAAUUAAAAAUCAGGUUUAUGUCAUCACAGUAAUAGGGAACAAGACGUUAACACUGCCUUUCAAGCUCUCAGGUUUGCUGGUGCUUUGGCUCUGACUUUCCCUCUGACGUACUCAGAGAGUACAAACCAAUGCACAAGCAACAUCUUUAAAAACAACAGAAUUCUGUCCCUGCCCACCUGCUAAGAAACACACCAUAAAUUAGAAAGCUAUUUUCUAUAUUCUAAUCUUUCAGAAUUUGUAAGUGGUCCACUAUAUCUGAUUAUUUAUAGAGUAUAACUUAGAUCUAUCUACUGAUUUAGAUAAUAAGGACAUUUUCCCUUAAACCUAUUGACAUUAGCAACUACUUUCUAGAAUUGCCCUAGAAAUAAAGCUGUUAAUUAUGAUUGGGGAAUAGGCAUUAUUGAACUUAGGGUGUCAUGUUUAGCUAGGCUGUUCCAUACUUAUAUUAAGAAUAGCAGUCCACUGGGGCUGGAGAGGCGGCUCAGUGGUUAAGAGUACUGGCUGUUCUUCCAGAGAAUCUGAGCUGAGCUUCUCGCACACAGGCAAAUGACCAUCUGUAACUCCAGCUCCAAGGACUCUGACACCUUCCAGUCUCCACUGUCACUUAAACACAUGUGGUAUUUACUCACAAAGAUAUACACACAUACACGUAAGUAAAAAUAUCAAGGUCAGCCUGGUGUAUAUUGUGAAUUCUAGGCAGCCACAAUGCAUAGUUGAGAGAAAGUUACAAAAGAAAAGAAAAGAAAAGAAAAGAAAGGAAGGAAGGAAGGAAGGAAGGAAAGAGUUUAAGAUCAUUCUGAGUUGAACCAGACAAACCUGAGCUACAUGAACCCAUGCAUUCAGGAUUUAGGGUUAUAUUUAUUAUUUUUGUUACAGUGCUAAAUAUCCCCUGUAAACACUCUACCACAGAGCUACAGCUACAGCCAUAUUGGUAAUUUUCAUUUUGAACACUUAUAUUUUAAAACAUCUAGGCAGGCCUCGUUAAUCCUAGCAUUUGGGAGACAAAGGCAGGUGGAUCUCUGUGAGUUUGAGGUCAGCCUGGUCUACAGAGCUAGUUCAAGGAAAGUCAAGGCUACACAAAGAAACCCUGUCUCAAAAAAAUAAGAAGUAAAUAAAUUAAAAAAAAAAACAAAACAACCCAAAGCCAGAGAACAUUUCCUAUUUGAGCUAGGCAUGGAGGUACUUGCUUUUAAUAUUAGCAGGUGUAGAGGUAUGCUGAUCUCGGUGAGCUUGAAGACAGCCAGAGUUAUGAAUAGAGAUGCUGUCUCAAAAGACAAAACAAAGCAACAAUGUCUUGUUUCAAAGUGUAGGAAAACAAAUUUUGUCAUGAUUGGUGAGAGACUGUGAUUAUAAUUUAAUUACUGACAAAAUACUAAAAACUCUUUUGGUAUCUG
Molecule: long non-coding RNA, 1664 nt
Filed under: Mus musculus (house mouse)
Lineage: Eukaryota; Metazoa; Chordata; Mammalia; Rodentia; Muridae
Description: long non-coding RNA chr11:86596399-86598063
Source: RNAcentral